This 656-nucleotide ribosomal RNA is filed under the name Enterobacteriaceae bacterium N29221VB01_1492r. RNAcentral's name for it is "bacterial SSU rRNA". It matches the Rfam family "Bacterial small subunit ribosomal RNA", at positions 770 to 1426 of the family's 1533-position model. Lineage: Bacteria; Pseudomonadati; Pseudomonadota; Gammaproteobacteria; Enterobacterales; Enterobacteriaceae. The record is from RNAcentral.
AAACAGGAUUAGAUACCCUGGUAGUCCACGCCGUAAACNNNGUCGACUUGGAGGUUGUGCCCUUGAGGCGUGGCUUCCGGAGCUAACGCGUUAAGUCGACCGCCUGGGGAGUACGGCCGCAAGGUUAAAACUCAAAUGAAUUGACGGGGGCCCGCACAAGCGGUGGAGCAUGUGGUUUAAUUCGAUGCAACGCGAAGAACCUUACCUGGUCUUGACAUCCACAGAACUUUCCAGAGAUGGAUUGGUGCCUUCGGGAACUGUGAGACAGGUGCUGCAUGGCUGUCGUCAGCUCGUGUUGUGAAAUGUUGGGUUAAGUCCCGCAACGAGCGCAACCCUUAUCCUUUGUUGCCAGCGGUCCGGCCGGGAACUCAAAGGAGACUGCCAGUGAUAAACUGGAGGAAGGUGGGGAUGACGUCAAGUCAUCAUGGCCCUUACGACCAGGGCUACACACGUGCUACAAUGGCGCAUACAAAGAGAAGCGACCUCGCGAGAGCAAGCGGACCUCAUAAAGUGCGUCGUAGUCCGGAUUGGAGUCUGCAACUCGACUCCAUGAAGUCGGAAUCGCUAGUAAUCGUGGAUCAGAAUGCCACGGUGAAUACGUUCCCGGGCCUUGUACACACCGCCCGUCACACCAUGGGAGUGGGUUGCAAAAGAAG